UGGGGAAUAUUGGACAAUGGGCGAAAGCCUGAUCCAGCCAUGCCGCGUGUGUGAAGAAGGUCUUCGGAUUGUAAAGCACUUUAAGUUGGGAGGAAGGGCAGUAAGCGAAUACCUUGCUGUUUUGACGUUACCGACAGAAUAAGCACCGGCUAACUCUGUGCCAGCAGCCGCGGUAAUACAGAGGGUGCAAGCGUUAAUCGGAAUUACUGGGCGUAAAGCGCGCGUAGGUGGUUCGUUAAGUUGAAUGUGAAAGCCCCGGGCUCAACCUGGGAACUGCUUCCAAAACUGGCGAGCUAGAGUAGGGCAGAGGGUGGUGGAAUUUCCUGUGUAGCGGUGAAAUGCGUAGAUAUAGGAAGGAACACCAGUGGCGAAGGCGACCACCUGGGCUCAUACUGACACUGAGGUGCGAAAGCGUGGGGAGCAAACAGG
This 429-nucleotide ribosomal RNA is filed under the name Pseudomonadota bacterium. RNAcentral describes it as "Proteobacteria bacterium partial 16S ribosomal RNA". It matches the Rfam family "Bacterial small subunit ribosomal RNA", at positions 355 to 776 of the family's 1533-position model. Lineage: Bacteria; Pseudomonadati; Pseudomonadota. The record is from RNAcentral.